RNAcentral lists this ribosomal RNA (253 nucleotides) under uncultured bacterium. RNAcentral describes it as "partial 16S ribosomal RNA". It matches the Rfam family "Bacterial small subunit ribosomal RNA", at positions 524 to 776 of the family's 1533-position model. The record is from RNAcentral.
GACGAACCGUGCAAACGUUGUUCGGAAUCACUGGGCUUAAAGGGCGCGUAGGCGGGCCAGCCAGUCUGUGGUGAAAGCCUCCAGCUUAACUGGAGAAGUGCCGUGGAUACUGCUGGCCUCGAGGAGGGUAGGGGCAUCUGGAACGGUCGGUGGAGCGGUGAAAUGCGUUGAUAUCGACCGGAACUCCGGUGGCGAAGGCGAGGUGCUGGGCCCUUUCUGACGCUGAUGCGCGAAAGCCAGGUGAGCAAACGGG